This 462-nucleotide ribosomal RNA is filed under the name Streptococcus mitis. RNAcentral describes it as "bacterial SSU rRNA". It matches the Rfam family "Bacterial small subunit ribosomal RNA", at positions 28 to 474 of the family's 1533-position model. Lineage: Bacteria; Bacillati; Bacillota; Bacilli; Lactobacillales; Streptococcaceae. The record is from RNAcentral.
GACGAACGCUGGCGGCGUGCCUAAUACAUGCAAGUAGAACGCUGAAGGAGGAGCUUGCUUCUCCGGAUGAGUUGCGAACGGGUGAGUAACGCGUAGGUAACCUGCCUGGUAGCGGGGGAUAACUAUUGGAAACGAUAGCUAAUACCGCAUAAGAGUAGAUGUUGCAGGACAUUUGCUUAAAAGGUGCAAUUGCAUCACUACCAGAUGGACCUGCGUUGUAUUAGCUAGUUGGCGGGGUAACGGCUCACCAAGGCGACGAUACAUAGCCGACCUGAGAGGGUGAUCGGCCACACUGGGACUGAGACACGGCCCAGACUCCUACGGGAGGCAGCAGUAGGGAAUCUUCGGCAAUGGACGGAAGUCUGACCGAGCAACGCCGCGUGAGUGAAGAAGGUUUUCGGAUCGUAAAGCUCUGUUGUAAGAGAAGAACGAGUGUGAGAGUGGAAAGUUCACACUGUGACG